RNAcentral lists this ribosomal RNA (289 nucleotides) under uncultured Pantoea sp. Its description in RNAcentral is "partial 16S ribosomal RNA". It matches the Rfam family "Bacterial small subunit ribosomal RNA", at positions 19 to 306 of the family's 1533-position model. The record is from RNAcentral. Lineage: Bacteria; Pseudomonadati; Pseudomonadota; Gammaproteobacteria; Enterobacterales; Erwiniaceae.
UUGGCUCAGAACGAACGCUGGCGGCAGGCCUAACACAUGCAAGUCGGACGGUAGCACAGAGAGCUUGCUCUUGGGUGACGAGUGGCGGACGGGUGAGUAAUGUCUGGGGAUCUGCCCGAUAGAGGGGGAUAACCACUGGAAACGGUGGCUAAUACCGCAUAACGUCGCAAGACCAAAGAGGGGGACCUUCGGGCCUCUCACUAUCGGAUGAACCCAGAUGGGAUUAGCUAGUAGGCGGGGUAAUGGCCCACCUAGGCGACGAUCCCUAGCUGGUCUGAGAGGAUGACCA